RNAcentral lists this unclassified non-coding RNA (769 nucleotides) under Hevea brasiliensis (rubber tree). Lineage: Eukaryota; Viridiplantae; Streptophyta; Magnoliopsida; Malpighiales; Euphorbiaceae. The record is from RNAcentral.
AAAAAAAAAAAAAAGAAAAAAAAUUGAGUCAUGCUGUCUAUAUUAUUCAAUUGGUGAUUCUUUAAUCAUGGAGUCAGGUUUCAACUCAGAUUAUCUAUCUUGUUAAAUUAGAAAAUACGCUUUGAAGUUUACAUGAAAAGUUUACCAACUUUAGUAAUGCCUCAUGUGUUAUGGGUUUGGCAUUGACCAACCAUAAGUUACACAAGCUCAAAAUUCUUUUACACACAUAUCUAUUUAUUAUCAACAGUCUCUUCUUCUUCCCGUGUUGGUUUGCAGUCUGAUGUAUUCAACUAUUCAUUCAUUUUAUCACUAUCAUUAGAUACAUAAUUUAUGCAUAUCACGAACAACAACAACUGAGCCUAAAUUCCAAACUAGUUGAGGUCAACCAUAUAGAUCUUUUUCCUCUAUUUUGCUCCGUUAGACAUUAAGUCCGCAUCAAAAUCCAAAACUUGUAGAUCCUUUGAUACCAUUUCCCUCGACGUCAUCUUUGGUCUUCUCCUUCCCCCUUCUCACUCCUCUUACUAACUUACCACACUUUCGUUCUGGGGCAUUUUAUGCAUAUCACGAAAUUGAAUAAUUUUCCUGUGGGUGGAAGGCAGCUUGUUUAUGUCGCAGCUUAUUUAUGUUUGUGUUGUUGAUCUUCUGCAUUGUUGAAUAUUUCUAAUGUCCAUUCUUUAAGGGGAUACAUACACACAUGCGCGCGCACGCAUAUAAGUGCGGUAUUUUUUUAUAUCUUAUGCUGACUUCAACUGCUUAAUAUUCCAGGUAU